RNAcentral lists this ribosomal RNA (497 nucleotides) under uncultured bacterium. RNAcentral describes it as "partial 16S ribosomal RNA". It matches the Rfam family "Bacterial small subunit ribosomal RNA", at positions 28 to 507 of the family's 1533-position model. The record is from RNAcentral.
GAUGAACGCUGGCGGCGUGCCUAAUACAUGCAAGUCGAGCGAACAGACGAGGAGCUUGCUCCUCUGACGUUAGCGGCGGACGGGUGAGUAACACGUGGAUAACCUACCUAUAAGACUGGGAUAACUUCGGGAAACCGGAGCUAAUACCGGAUAAAAUGUUGAACCGCAUGGUUCAACAGUGAAAGACGGUCUUGCUGUCACUUAUAGAUGGAUCCGCGCCGCAUUAGCUAGUUGGUAAGGGAACGGCUUACCAAGGCAACGAUGCGUAGCCGACCUGAGAGGGGGAUCGGCCACACUGGAACUGAGACACGGUCCAGACUCCUACGGGAGGCAGCAGUAGGGAAUCUUCCGCAAUGGGCGAAAGCCUGACGGAGCAACGCCGCGUGAGUGAAGAAGGUCUUCGGAUCGUAAAACUCUGUUAUUAGGGAAGAACAAAUGUGUAAGUAACUAUGCACGUCUUGACGGUACCUAAUCAGAAAGCCACGGCUAACUACGUG